CUUCGCCUACGGGAGGCAGCAGUGGGGAAUAUUGCACAAUGGGGGAAACCCUGAUGCAGCGACGCCGCGUGAGUGAGGAAGUAUUUCGGUAUGUAAAGCUCUGUCAGCAGGGAAGAAAGCAAUGACGGUACCUGACCAAGAAGCCCCGGCUAACUACGUGCCAGCAGCCGCGGUAAUACGUAGGGGGCAAGCGUUAUCCGGAUUUACUGGGUGUAAAGGGAGCGUAGACGGCCGUGCAAGUCUGAUGUGAAAACCCGGGGCUCAACCCCGGGACUGCAUUGGAAACUGCAUGGCUGGAGUGUCGG
This 305-nucleotide ribosomal RNA is filed under the name uncultured bacterium. RNAcentral describes it as "bacterial SSU rRNA". It matches the Rfam family "Bacterial small subunit ribosomal RNA", at positions 333 to 652 of the family's 1533-position model. The record is from RNAcentral.